UCCCUUCAAUGUAGACUGACUCGGACA
RNAcentral lists this non-coding RNA (27 nucleotides) under Rattus norvegicus (Norway rat). The record is from RNAcentral. Lineage: Eukaryota; Metazoa; Chordata; Mammalia; Rodentia; Muridae.